AGGCCUAAAUUAAUAUAUUGUUUGUUUCCCCAAUCCCGACCCUGCCAAGCAAGGUGUGGGUAGGUAGGUAGGGAAAUAAUUUUAUUUUUUUCCAAAAAGCUUGAACAAUAUCGAACGAUGCAGCAAGCCUGAAAAUCAGAAAGGAAUAAAAUAAUUUUCUAUUUAGUUUUGACAAUAAAAUUUUAUGUGUAGCACAGUUUUUGCAGGGUCGGUCGGGAUUGGGGAAACACACAAUAUUUUAGUUUAGGCCUUAU
This 254-nucleotide long non-coding RNA is filed under the name Mytilus galloprovincialis (Mediterranean mussel). The record is from RNAcentral. Lineage: Eukaryota; Metazoa; Mollusca; Bivalvia; Mytilida; Mytilidae.